Long non-coding RNA from Spinacia oleracea (spinach), 1456 nucleotides. RefSeq lists it as uncharacterized. NCBI's taxonomy places the organism in Eukaryota, Viridiplantae, Streptophyta, Magnoliopsida, Caryophyllales, Amaranthaceae. The record is from RefSeq and is a predicted model, not a curated record. The transcript has 3 exons.
CAUGUAAGUUUGAACGGACAGUAUUAUAAGGAAUUAGUUGUUUAAUAUCUAAAUUUAAUUUGGAACUCUCGACUCUUUAUGGUUACACCAUUCAUCAAUUUUGAUUCUUAGUUUUAAUAUUUUUACAGAGAAGCAUCAAUCUGGUGAAAAUUCAUGGUUAUGGUUAGUAUUGUCAUAUACUGGAGUUCACAUUAUUAUGCAUCAAUAAUCCUUUGAUUUCCAAUGAACCUAAGAGAAAAGGUCUUGCAUAAAAUUAAAAAUAGUUGUCUGUUUAAGCAUGAAACAGAAAAUUUGAAUCUCAAAUGUUAAAGAUAAGAAGGAAUGACAAAGUUUCCUGGGAGAAUAUUCAUAUCGGCGCAGUUGAAAGAAACAAAACACAAGCUUUGUUCUGAUCAGACUUUCAGUUCUGAUUAGUUUCAGACUUUCAGUUCUGAUCAGUUCAAGCUUUGUUCUGAUCAGACUUUCAGUUCUGAUCAGUUUCAGACUUUCAGUGCUGAUCAACUCAAGCUUUGUUCUGAUUAGACUUUCAGUUUUGAUCAGUUUUAGACUUUUAGUUCUGAUCAGAUGCAAGCUUCUGUUUUUGUUUUGAGCUAUGUGUACGUUUAUCUGACACAACACAGCAGAACACACACACACACACACACACCUGAAAUACACACAACACACUCAAACACACAGCACAGGUAACACAGACAGCAGAACACACACACAACAGAACACACGCAGCCAUUCUAUUGCAUGUUAGUUCUGGUCAAAGUUGUACAACAGAGGAAGGAGACAUUCCUUUUGGAAUUGAGGACUUGCUAUAUUAUGUAAAAAAGGAUGAAGCAGAUAAGUUCCAUCUAGGUUUUGGAGCCCUUAAAGAGUAUUUUCCUCUUGUCUUUGAUUUGAGCUCUUCUGAACUUAUGGGCUAUGCGUACUUCGAUCUCUACUCCAGGUUCUGCAACUAUCUCUCUUUCUGAUGACCUUAUCCUCAUUGUACUUAACAAACUGUCUGACAACAAUGUCAUUAAUCCAGGAAAGGAAAAUAUGGCCAGACUUGUGUUUCGCCUCUCCAAAAUGGUUCAUUAUCAGCAAAUGUUGCUAGACAGGUUCCAGUUGUUCUACUGAUGUCUGAUAUUUUAAAGGGGGAUGUUAACUUUCCUGCAUUACUGCGAUUCUCUAAAGUUGUUAGUCUUUUCCAUGAAUUUGGCCAUAUGUCAUUGGCUCGCAUGAACAAGAAGGACUCGUGGCUGUUUUGGUGGAGCCUUUAUCUUACCGUGAGUGAAGUUACUUUUUUUUCCUUUUCCGUCUCCUUUAAAAACCAUGUACUCCCUCCUUGCACAUAAGUAACACUUAUACUUUAGGGCAUUGUAAAUUAGCUGUCACGUGGUACUUUCUUAAAUAUAACUUUCGGUUCCUGAAUUUCUGUGAGGUCUUGUUUUGGUACUAUAUAUUAUGUUACAAGCUGGAUGAA